Molecule: RNA transcript, 511 nt
Organism: Scatophagus argus
Lineage: Eukaryota; Metazoa; Chordata; Actinopteri; Scatophagidae
Gene: itgb3bp
Gene name: integrin subunit beta 3 binding protein
Exons: 7
Source: RefSeq, a predicted model, not a curated record
AUUUAAGACAGAUGUUUUACACGAACCGUUUGAGUGUGGCAAAAGCGCCAGUUUCUCAAAUUUGUCACAAACGAAUUUCUGCAAGACAAACGACUUGAAAUGCCUGUGAGCAGAGCUCAGCCGAUGGACACUGCCCAUCAUCACCCAGUUUCCAAUAUACCAGUACCUGCAAGAACUCAGGCUCGUUUGGCUGGGACUGCAAGCUCUCAAGCAGGGAGGACCAAAGUCACAACACAUGAACUAGAGGUCCCACAGACAGAGUUGGAGAAACUGGACUCCUUACGUUCUAAACUGGAACAGUCAGUGGAUGCAUUUAUCAAAGCCAGGAAAGAGCUGGAGGAAACAUUCGGAUUUUGUGGUUUUCCUUUUAUUUCCUUGAGUCUUGUAUUUUAAUUAGUCAGCAGAGGGCAGCAGUGAACAAGGACAUUUCCUCACUGGUUCUUCUGCUGACCUGAAGACUGAGCUAAAGAGGCUCAGGGAGCUGACAUCCAGAUUAAAGUAAACUUUGAGG